This 468-nucleotide ribosomal RNA is filed under the name uncultured bacterium. Its description in RNAcentral is "partial 16S ribosomal RNA". It matches the Rfam family "Bacterial small subunit ribosomal RNA", at positions 28 to 507 of the family's 1533-position model. The record is from RNAcentral.
GACGAACGCUGGCGGCGUGCUUAACACAUGCAAGUCGAACGGAAAGGCCCUGCUUUUGUGGGGUGCUCGAGUGGCGAACGGGUGAGUAACACGUGAGUAACCUGCCCUUGACUUUGGGAUAACUUCAGGAAACUGGGGUUAAUACCGGAUAGGAGCUCCUGUUCCAUGGUGGGGGUUGGAAAGUUUCGGCGGUUGGGGAUGGACUCGCGGCUUAUCAGCUUGUUGGUGGGGUAGUGGCUUACCAAGGCUUUGACGGGUAGCCGGCCUGAGAGGGUGACCGGCCACAUUGGGACUGAGAUACGGCCCAGACUCCUACGGGAGGCAGCAGUGGGGAAUAUUGCACAAUGGGCGGAAGCCUGAUGCAGCAACGCCGCGUGCGGGAUGACGGCCUUCGGGUUGUAAACCGCUUUCGCCUGUGACGAAGCGUGAGUGACGGUAAUGGGUAAAGAAGCACCGGCUAACUACGUG